AUUGAACGCUGGCGGCAUGCUUUACACAUGCAAGUCGAACGGUAACAGGGAGCUUGCUCCGCUGACGAGUGGCGAACGGGUGAGUAAUGCAUCGGAACGUACCCAGUCGUGGGGGAUAACGUAGCGAAAGUUACGCUAAUACCGCAUACGUCCUGAGGGAGAAAGCGGGGGACCGUAAGGCCUCGCGCGAUUGGAGCGGCCGAUGUCGGAUUAGCUAGUUGGUAGGGUAAAGGCCUACCAAGGCGACGAUCCGUAGCGGGUCUGAGAGGAUGAUCCGCCACACUGGGACUGAGACACGGCCCAGACUCCUACGGGAGGCAGCAGUGGGGAAUUUUGGGACAAUGGGCGAAAGCCUGAUCCAGCCAUGCCGCGUGAGUGAAGAAGGCC
RNAcentral lists this ribosomal RNA (387 nucleotides) under uncultured bacterium. RNAcentral's name for it is "bacterial SSU rRNA". It matches the Rfam family "Bacterial small subunit ribosomal RNA", at positions 29 to 416 of the family's 1533-position model. The record is from RNAcentral.